RNAcentral lists this ribosomal RNA (440 nucleotides) under uncultured bacterium. RNAcentral's name for it is "partial 16S ribosomal RNA". It matches the Rfam family "Bacterial small subunit ribosomal RNA", at positions 338 to 795 of the family's 1533-position model. The record is from RNAcentral.
CCUACGUGAGGCAGCAGUGGGGAAUAUUGGACAAUGGGGGAAACCCUGAUGCAGCGACGCCGCGUGAGUGAAGACGUAAUUCGUUAUGUAAAGCUCUAUCUGCAGGGAAGAAAAUGACGGUACCUUAGUAAGAAGCCCCGGCUAACUACGUGCCAGCAGCCGCGUUAAUACGUAGGGGGCAAGCGUUAUCCGGAUUUACUGGGUGUAAAGGGAGCGUAGACGGCAGUGCAAGUCUGGAGUGAAAGGCGUGGGCGCAACCCCCGGACUGCUCUGGAAACUGUACGGCUGGAGUGCAGGAGAGGUAAGUGGAAUUCCUAGUGUAGCGGUGAAAUGCGUAGAUAUUAGGAGGAACACCAGUGGCGAAGGCGGCUUACUGGACUGUAACUGACGUGGAGGCUCGAAAGCGUGGGGAGCAAACAGGAUUAGAUACCCGGGUAGUC